AUUGAAACGCUGGCGGGCAGGCUAACACAUGCAAGUCGAACGGUAACAGGAGGAAAGCUUGCUUUUCUUGCUGACGAGUGGCGGACGGGGUGAGUAAUGCUUGGGAAUCUGCCUUAUGGAGGGGGAUAACUACGGGAAACUGUAGCUAAUACCGCGUAAUAUCUUCGGAUUAAAGUGUGGGACCUUCGGGCCACAUGCCAUAAGAUGAGCCCAAGUGAGAUUAGGUAGUUGGUGAGGUAAAGGCUCACCAAGCUGACGAUCUCUAGCUGGUUUGAGAGGAUGACCAGCCACACUGGAACUGAGACACGGUCCAGACUCCUACGGGAGGCAGCAGUGGGGAAUAUUGCACAAUGGGCGCAAGCCUGAUGCAGCCAUGCCGCGUGAAUGAAGAAGGCUUUCGGGUUGUAAAGUUCUUUCAGCGAUGAGGAAGGUGCUAUAUCUAAUAGGUGUAGCAAUUGACGUUAGUCGCAGAAGAAGCACCGGCUAACUCCGUGCCAGCAGCCGCGGUAAUACGGAGGGUGCAAGCGUUAAUCGGAAUAACUGGGCGUAAAGGGCACGCAGGCGGUUGUCUAAGUCAGAUGUGAAAGCCCCGAGCUUAACUUGGGAAUUGCAUUUGAGACUGGGCGACUAGAGUCCUCUAGGGAGGGGUAGAAUUCCACGUGUAGCGGUGAAAUGCGUAGAGACGUGGAGGAAUACCGAAGGCGAAGGCAGCCCCUUGGAGAGAGACUGACGCUGAGGUGCGAAAGCGUGGUUAGCAAACAGG
Molecule: ribosomal RNA, 763 nt
Filed under: uncultured bacterium
Lineage: Bacteria
Description: bacterial SSU rRNA
Rfam family: Bacterial small subunit ribosomal RNA
Source: RNAcentral